Molecule: long non-coding RNA, 213 nt
Filed under: Setaria italica (foxtail millet)
Lineage: Eukaryota; Viridiplantae; Streptophyta; Magnoliopsida; Poales; Poaceae
Description: long non-coding RNA (SITA_LNC006590)
Source: RNAcentral
AAGCAGUGGUUAUGGACCAAAAAUUUGAGAAGGCACCUAGACCUGAUGGUUUCAUUGGGGUCUUCUUCAAAAACAGUUGGGACAUUAUCAAGAAAGAUCUGAUUCUAGCAAUGCAAUACUUUUACAAUCAACACUUCAAUAUCCUAAACUCAGCACAAAUUGUCCCAAUACCCAAGCAACCUGAAGCAAAAAGGGUGACUAACUAUAGAUCCA